Non-coding RNA from Lolium perenne, 1707 nucleotides. The record is from RefSeq and is a predicted model, not a curated record. Lineage: Eukaryota; Viridiplantae; Streptophyta; Magnoliopsida; Poales; Poaceae.
AUACAUUCUCCACGAAAAACGUCACCUCCGUAGAGUCGUCAAGAUCAACCUAACCCCUAUGUUAAACGCUUGAUCAUUUAGGACUCGAUCGAUCUCGAUGACGGGCGGCGUGGCUCGAUCAUCUAGGAAUCGAUCGAUCUCCACGACGGGCGGCGCGGCUCGCAUGAACAAGGACGAAGUCGAUGUACCAGAUAAGGCGUGCGAUCUCGAAAACGACAACUACAAGCCGUCACAAGUCGAGUUCGUCUAUGGUCGUCGCCGCCGUCCCCACCGUCCCACGCCCGUUAACGCCCAGCAGCCACCGCCUUGAGACCCGCCGGGAGAGGGGCGAGGAGCCGCAGAUGAGGAGAAAGUUGGGAGUAGAUAAUCGCCCACAGGAGGAGUCUCGGCAGAGUUGGGCGAGUUUCAUUCAGCGCUCCCACCAACCUGUAGCGCCCGGAUCCGCCCCGUCCCCAUCCCUUCACGCCUGCGCUGCCCUUCCCGCAGAUUUCACCGCCGCCGCCAUCCUUGAAUCCACCGGCGCCGAUGUCCCGCUGAAAUCCACGACGCGCCGCCAUAGCCUUGACCUGGAUUGCGCCUACUCCUGUACUGGAUCUAGGUGUGGCCUGGCUCCACGUAUCUCCAGAUGAUGUGCUACUUCAAUUUCUGAAUAAGAAUGCAGCUUAACAGUGCCGCUCAGCAGGAUUCCUUGACUAAUUGGUAUCCCAUCGGUGAAUCUGGAUUUCAGUGGAUUUCAGUGGACAUCGCAUCCUACAGAGUUUAGGUCCAUCAGGGUUCAAUUUUCGUCAGGGUUCAUCAAGAAUGGGAACACAAUGGGCAGGAAGAAAAAGGGAAUCUAAAUUUAAAGGGAAAAAAUUUGAUAAUGCUUUUGGACCAGCUGAUGAUCAAGAGGUUGUAUUUGCUGAGAGCUUGCCAGUCUUGAGGUCAGUGACGGAUGGUUCAAUUCAUGCUUGGUUUGAUCUCGAGCGGGUGGGCGCAGCGGCGCUGGCCUAUGAGGCGAACAAGCUGCUGGUGAUAGAGAACGUGCAGGUAGCGCCUCGGCAGGACGGCGAGGAAUUUAAUUUCUAUGAUGCUACGAGAGAAAGGCAUGUUCGCCUCCCUGGAAUUUACGUUGCAAAUACUGCAAGGCCUCCCUGUAUAUGCAUGACAAUGGAUAUUUCCAUCAUCACCUCAAACUAUAAUGUCUUCUCUCAGUAUUAUGAGAUUCUGUUUAAAAUCUGUUGGUGACAAUGGAUAAUUUUCAUUUACAUGGCAUAUACUUAUAGAUGAUUACAUGUGUACCACAUAUACGGUUGAGACAAGAGACAAGGUCUGUCACUCUUCCAUGGCGCCAAGCGCUGGGUUGUGGGCCUACCGCGAGCCUCCUCCCUUGAGUGCCAUAACCAACGACAAGCGGCGGAGAAGAACAUGGGCGUGCCACCAGGGAUAGGUAAUGGCGGCAGCGGUGGGGAGAAGGCGCUCGUCGUGGCUAGCGACUGGAAGGCAUGGGACUGGGCAGUCCGGUCGCCGGUAGUGGGGAGGCAAGGAAAGGAUUCUUGACCAAAGAGAAAUAGAGGGAGGUAGAAAGUGGGAAGGUCGAGAGUGGGGAGGCAGGCUAGAGGCACUAAUAGGAUGGUUUGUGUCCCAGUUUGGGUGUGAGUUUUUAUUUUUAUUUUUUUGCAAUGUCAUGACUCAAGGAAAGUUUCAAGUUAAUUAAGGCUUAAAAAG